RNAcentral lists this ribosomal RNA (179 nucleotides) under uncultured bacterium. RNAcentral describes it as "partial 16S ribosomal RNA". It matches the Rfam family "Bacterial small subunit ribosomal RNA", at positions 335 to 526 of the family's 1533-position model. The record is from RNAcentral.
ACUCCUACGGGAGGCAGCAGUGGGGAAUAUUGGGCAAUGGGCGCAAGCCUGACCCAGCGACGCCGCGUGAGGGAUGAAGGCCUUCGGGUUGUAAACCGCUUUCAGUAGGGAAGAAGCGAAAGUGACGGUACCUACAAAAGAAGCACCGGCUAACUAUGUGCCAGCAGCCGCGGUAAUAC